RNAcentral lists this ribosomal RNA (460 nucleotides) under uncultured bacterium. RNAcentral describes it as "partial 16S ribosomal RNA". It matches the Rfam family "Bacterial small subunit ribosomal RNA", at positions 338 to 795 of the family's 1533-position model. The record is from RNAcentral.
CCUACGUGAGGCAGCAGUGAGGAAUAUUGGUCAAUGGACGCAAGUCUGAACCAGCCAUGCCGCGUGCAGGAAGACGGCUCUAUGAGUUGUAAACUGCUUUUGUACGAGGGUAAACGCAGAUACGCGUGUCUGUCUGAAAGUAUCUGACGAAUAAGGAUCGGCUAACUCCGUGCCAGCAGCCGCGGUAAUACGGAGGAUUCAAGCGUUAUCCGGAUUUAUUGGGUUUACAGGGUGCGUAGGCGGUCGGAUAAGUUAGAGGUGAAAUCCCGAGGCUCAACUUCGGAAUUGCCUCGGAUACUGUUCGGCUAGAGAGUAGUUGCAGUAUGCGGAAUGUAUGGUGUAGCGGUGAAAUGCUUAGAGAUCAUACAGAACACCGAUUGCGAAGGCAGCUUACCAAGCUACUUCUGACGUUGAGGCACGAAAGCGUGGGGAGCAAACAGGAUUAGAUACCCUUGUAGUC